This 234-nucleotide ribosomal RNA is filed under the name uncultured bacterium. RNAcentral describes it as "partial 16S ribosomal RNA". It matches the Rfam family "Bacterial small subunit ribosomal RNA", at positions 15 to 228 of the family's 1533-position model. The record is from RNAcentral.
GAUCCUGGCUCAGGAUGAACGCUGGCGGCGUGCUUAACACAUGCAAGUCGAGCGAAGCAAUUUAAGUGAAGUUUUCGGAUGGAUCUUAGAUUGACUGAGCGGGCGGACGGGGUGAGGUAACGCGUGGAUAACCUGCCUCACACAGGGGGAUAACAGUUAGAAAUGACUGCUAAUACCGCAUAAGCGCACAGUACCGCAUGGUAUAGUGUGAAAAACUCCGGUGGUGUGAGAUGG